Molecule: ribosomal RNA, 467 nt
Filed under: uncultured bacterium
Lineage: Bacteria
Description: partial 16S ribosomal RNA
Rfam family: Bacterial small subunit ribosomal RNA
Source: RNAcentral
GACGAACGCUGGCGGCGUGCUUAACACAUGCAAGUCGAACGGAAAGGCUCCAGCUUGCUGGAGUACUCGAGUGGCGAACGGGUGAGUAACACGUGGGUAAUCUGCCCUGCACUCUGGGAUAAGCCUGGGAAACUGGGUCUAAUACUGGAUAUGACCUUUCUCCUUAUGGGGUUUGGUGGAAAGUUUUUCGGUGUAGGAUGAGCCCGCGGCCUAUCAGCUUGUUGGUGGGGUGAUGGCCUACCAAGGCGACGACGGGUAGCCGGCCUGAGAGGGUGAUCGGCCACAUUGGGACUGAGAUACGGCCCAGACUCCUACGGGAGGCAGCAGUGGGGAAUAUUGCACAAUGGGCGGAAGCCUGAUGCAGCGACGCCGCGUGAGGGAUGACGGCCUUCGGGUUGUAAACCUCUUUCAGCAGGGACGAAGCGUAAGUGACGGUACCUGCAGAAGAAGCACCGGUUAACUAUGUG